CCAACAUGUUGGCGUCACAGAGGAGGCAAAUCAGUGACGAACUGAGGAGGAGUGUGGGUGCUACAGAAAUGUAAAACACACCUCUUUAAAAAGGUCGCUAUGGGGAAGCUAUGGAGCUCCACUUAGGUGUUGACAGGUGUAAACAAGACUAGCAAAAGCAAUCAAAUCAUGUUUUGUUCCUUCAUUAGUUCAAUCUCAAACAGAAUCACAGAGCGAUCAGCUAGUAA
This is a non-coding RNA of Pelobates cultripes (western spadefoot toad), 227 nucleotides long. The record is from the annotation of a GenBank genome assembly. Lineage: Eukaryota; Metazoa; Chordata; Amphibia; Anura; Pelobatidae.